GGGGACUGUGUGACAUGGGGACAGAGUGACAUGGGGACAGAGUGACAUGGGGACAGCGUGACAUAGGGACAGAGUGACAUGGGGACUGGGUGACAUGGGGACAGAGUGACAUGGGGACAGAGUGACAUGGGGACAGCGUAACAUAGGGACAGAGUGACAUGGGGACUGGGUGACAUGGGGACGGAGUGACACGGGGACAGCGUGACAUAGGGACAGAGUGACAUGGGGACUGGGUGACAUGGGGACGGAGUGACACGGGGACAGCGUGACAUAGGGACAGAGUGACAUGGGGACAGAGUGACAUGGGGACAGAGUGACAUGGGGACAGUGUGACAUGGGGACAGCGUGACAUAGGGACAGAGUGACACGGGGACAGAGUGACAUGGGGACUGUGUGACAUGGGGACAGAGUGACAUGGGGACAGAGUGACACGGGGACAGUGUGACACGGGGACAGAGUGACAUGGGGACAGCGUGACACGGGGACAGUGUGACAUGGGGACAGCGUGACAUGAGGACAGCAUGACAUAGGGACAGAGUGAUAUGGGGACUGUGUGACGGGGGACAGUGUGACAUGGGGACAGAGUGACAUGGGGACAGAGUGACACGGGGACAGAGUGACACGGGGACAGAGUGACAUGGGGACAGUGUGACAUGGGGACAGCAUGACAUAGGGACAGCAUGACAUGGGGACAGAGUGACACGGGGACAGCGUGACAUGGGGACUGUGUGACACGGGGACUGUGUGACACAGGGACAGAGUGACAUGGGGACAGUGCGACAUGGGGACAGCGUGACAUGGGACAGCGUGACAUGGGGACUGUGUGACACGGGGACAGCGUGACAUGGGACAGCGUGACAUGGGGACUGUGUGACACGGGGACUGUGUGACACGGGGACACUGGCUCCAAGGAGACACCUCUCAAGGGCUGCUCUGGCAUCCCCCGUGUCCCCAUGUCCCUCUAACUCCGGUGUCCCUCUGUCCCCUCUUCCCCAUGUCCCUAUAUCCCCAGCAUCCCAGUUGUCACCGGCAUCCUGUCCCCAGUGCCCCCAGUGUCCCCAUGUCCCCAUGCCCCCCUCUCCCCAGCAGUAUCCCCACAUCUCCAGUGUCCCCAUAUCUCCAUGUCCCCCUCUCUCCAUCAGUGUCCCCAUGUCCCCACACCCCCCUCUCCCCAGCAGUGUCCCCAUGUCCCCAGUGUCACCAAGUCCUCAUGUCCCCCUUUCUCCAUCAGUGUCCCCAUGUCCCCAUGCCCCUCUCUCCCCAGCAGUGUCCCCACGUCCCCAGUGUCCCCAUGUCCUCAUGUCCCCCUCUCUCCAUCAGUGUCCCCAUAUCUCCAUGUCCCCCUCUCCCCAGCAGUGUCCCCAUGUCCCCAGUGUCCCCAUGUCCUCAUGUCCCCCUCUCUCCAUCAGUGUCCCCAUGUCCCCACGUCCCCGUGCCCCCCUCUCUCCCCAGCAGUGUCCCCACGAGGUGGUGGCCCGGUGGGGCCGGGGGCUCACGGCGAAGCGGUCGUAGAGGCGGUAGGUGAGCAGCGGGUUGGGCAGCUCGCGGAAGUACGCCUUGCAGAGCGAGCUGACGCAGUGGAUGUCCUGCAGGUACACGUCCUUGUGCAG
Numida meleagris (helmeted guineafowl) is the source of this 1610-nucleotide long non-coding RNA. Lineage: Eukaryota; Metazoa; Chordata; Aves; Galliformes; Numididae. The record is from Ensembl.